RNAcentral lists this ribosomal RNA (440 nucleotides) under uncultured bacterium. RNAcentral's name for it is "partial 16S ribosomal RNA". It matches the Rfam family "Bacterial small subunit ribosomal RNA", at positions 338 to 795 of the family's 1533-position model. The record is from RNAcentral.
CCUACGGGAGGCAGCAGUGGGGAAUAUUGCACAAUGGGGGAAACCCUGAUGCAGCGACGCCGCGUGAGUGAAGAAGUAUCUCGGUACGUAAAGCCCUAUCAGCAGGGAAGAAAAUGACGGUACCUGACUAAGAAGCCCCGGCUAACUACGUGCCAGCAGCCGCGUUACUACGUAGGGGGCAAGCGUUAUCCGGAUUUACUGGGUGUAAAGGGAGCGUAGACGGCAGCACAAGUCAGGAGUGAAAGCCCGGGGCUUAACCCCGGAACUGCUUUGGAAACUGGGCGGCUGGAGUGCAGGAGGGGUAAGCGGAAUUCCUGGUGUAGCGGUGAAAUGCGUAGAUAUUAGGAGGAACACCGGUGGCGAAGGCGGCUUACUGGACUGUAACUGACGUUGAGGCUCGAAAGCGUGGGGAGCAAACAGGAUUAGAUACCCCGGUAGUC